This 243-nucleotide ribosomal RNA is filed under the name uncultured bacterium. RNAcentral describes it as "partial 16S ribosomal RNA". It matches the Rfam family "Bacterial small subunit ribosomal RNA", at positions 1257 to 1500 of the family's 1533-position model. The record is from RNAcentral.
GCGAGGUAGAGCAAAUCUCGAAAAACAAUCUCAGUUCAGACUGCAGGCUGCAACUCGCCUGCACGAAGUCGGAAUUGCUAGUAAUCGUAGGUCAGCAUACUACGGUGAAUACGUUCCCGGGCCUUGUACACACCGCCCGUCAAACCAUGAGAGUUGGCAACACCCGAAGUCGGUAGUCUAACCGCAAGGAGGACGCCGCCGAAGGUGGGGUCGAUGAUUAGGGUUAAGUCGUAACAAGGUAUC